CAGCAGCCGCGGGAACACGUAGGGUGCAAGCGUUAAUCGGAAUUACUGGGCGUAAAGCGUGCGUAGGUGGUGGUUUAAGUCCGUUGUGAAAGCCCUGGGCUCAACCUGGGAAUUGCAGUGGAUACUGGGUCACUAGAGUGUGGUAGAGGAUAGUGGAAUUUCCGGUGUAGCAGUGAAAUGCGUAGAGAUCGGAAGGAACAUCUGUGGCGAAGGCGACUAUCUGGGCCAACACUGACACUGAGGCACGAAAGCGUGGGGAGCGAACAGGAUUAGAUACCCCAGUAGUCCCUGUCUCUUAUAC
This 301-nucleotide ribosomal RNA is filed under the name uncultured bacterium. RNAcentral's name for it is "partial 16S ribosomal RNA". It matches the Rfam family "Bacterial small subunit ribosomal RNA", at positions 509 to 807 of the family's 1533-position model. The record is from RNAcentral.